ACUCUUAACGGUAAAUGGUUUUAAAUUUAAGGUUAUUAUUACUUAUUUCGGUAACUGACACAUAAAUAUGCAAUUAGAAACGUAUUUUUAAUCCACAAGACGUUAAACCGCGUAGAUUUCGCAAAGCAUAUCAGAAUUUAUAGAUAAUUAAAGCACUUACCAGUUGAAAUUAAAGAUGUACUACUAAAUAAUUAUUAACAAAGAAGCUUUAAUGACGUAAAUAAAACACAGGAAAGCAACACGACUUCUCUCUACGAAGUCCCAACAAAGAAUACAGGAUUGCGGCCUUCCGGCCUCCGGGUACUGACCUGACCGUUCGCUUAGCAACAGAGACGGCUGACGGACACGGAGUAUAGGGUAGGCGCACAAUAUCGAAGACUGAAGUCCUUCGAGAACUCAACGCGCAUGCGCUGUUCGAAUGUUCAAACAAUGAAGAACCUGCAUGUUCGACUUUACAGAUGGUUCCUGGCCUGUUUAACUUUUCCGCAACGUUUAUUAAUCUAUUUAACGCGUGUGGGAUAUAAAUCUUCGACUGGAAAAAUCCGAAUAAUUUUUGUUUAUAAUAUUCUUUUUUGAUGUUACAGUUAAUUUAGGUAAUAUUCGUUUCAAAAUAUUUAAUUUUAUUUUAAUGCUUUCAUUGAAUUUUUUAUAGUUAUGUUUAGUAACUAUCCCAAGGAUUAAAGUUUUUUUUAAAUUUAUAUAAAUGAAUAAAUAAAUACAUAGAUAUUCAAGUUCAAAAAAAUAUUAUUUUGCGUCAAUAAUUUUGUUACUUUUGCAAUAAUGUAUUAUAAUUGAUUGCUACUGUUGGUUCUGUUUAUUCUACAUCAUCAGCACUCUAUUUUUAUAAUCGUUCAUAGGAUCACAGAUUAUCAUUCAUAACUUCUCAAUUAUACAACAAAAUUUAAACACUUCAUUUACUCGCAAAAGUAUCAAACAUUGUUAAAACGUUAAUAAUAACUUGGUGUUCAACAACUUCGUAUAAAUGGCCACUUUGAUAGGAUAAAGAGUGGUAGACUUACACUAUUUACAAGAGUCGUAGAGAAAAAAAUGGAUAGUUUUUGCUUUACGAAAAUUCCUACUAUAAUGAAUAUGAUUUUUCUAUUAUUUUAUAACCGAUACAUUUUAUAGUCUCAAAAUGAUUGUUUUUAAUAUUAUUGUUGGAAUAAUAUAAUUCCCUUUGAAAUCAUCUAUCAAUACGUGAGCAAAGAAAAUUCUUUAAAAUAAAACAAUGUAUGUAUCAAGCAAUUACAAUAUUAUCUCUCUUAAGAACUUCCAAAACAUUUCGUGAUUAUGUAUGGAUAUGAUAAAGUAUAUUAAAGUCUCAUCAGUUUCUUGUAACUUACGUAGAAUAAUUUAAUUAUUACAAGAAUAUAAAAGUGGCAUUAAAUUAAUUAAAGUAUCAGUCACUAAACUGUAAUUUCAUUGAUAUCUCUACAUUUAUACAAUUGAUAUUUAUGGUUGUGCUAAUAUUUAAUCGUUCUACAAUAAAUAAUUCUUGGCUGAAUAUUUAAAAAAAA
This is a long non-coding RNA of Nasonia vitripennis (jewel wasp), 1517 nucleotides long. RefSeq lists it as uncharacterized. Lineage: Eukaryota; Metazoa; Arthropoda; Insecta; Hymenoptera; Pteromalidae. The record is from RefSeq and is a predicted model, not a curated record. The transcript is spliced from 2 exons.